This 73-nucleotide transfer RNA is filed under the name Monodelphis domestica (gray short-tailed opossum). It matches the Rfam family "tRNA". Rfam says of the family: Transfer RNA (tRNA) molecules are approximately 80 nucleotides in length. Their secondary structure includes four short double-helical elements and three loops (D, anti-codon, and T loops). The record is from Rfam by way of RNAcentral. Lineage: Eukaryota; Metazoa; Chordata; Mammalia; Didelphimorphia; Didelphidae.
GCUAAAGUAGCACAGUGGAUAGGGUACCAGGCCUAGAGUUAGGAGGACGUGGGUUCAAAUCUCAUCUCUGGCA